AUCGGGAACCUUCACAGCAGACACACUUUUAUGCCUUUGUUUGCAUGAAUGGCUCUGAGAAAAAGAGAGCAAAAAGAGAAACAAAGGGAAGAAAAAUACUGAAGAUUGCCAAGUCAAGGGAGGCCGAACUGUUAGGAGAGCUGACAGUGGUGACUAAUGCAACAAAUGGAUGAUGGAGUGCUGAUACGGGCUUCUCUCAGGACCCCUGGAGACAAACCAAAUUCCCACAGGGUUGAGCUGCACCUGUGCCAAUUGCUGCCCAGCUCUCCAGGUUAAAGCAAUGAGCGCAGUCAGGUGAUUAAGAGCCAGGCUAGCUGUUCUAGAGAACUGUCCUGGAAAAGAGUUGUGAUUACCAGCAGCUGUGUGAGUGGGUGUGCUGCUUCAUUAAGCAGGUGCUGCUCUGCUGCUGAAGAGCAUUUAUAGCCAAAGCACCAGCCCCACUGGGAGUGUAGGCUCAGGGAAGGUUAGUGGCCUAAAAAGGAAGAGCUGUCUAAGGGCUAAGCCAUUUCUGCCACACUGUUCUCCAUGGAAGGAUGAGAAAAGACCACGACCUAAGAAGAUGCCCUAUGGAAUGCUGCUUGCCUCGUGGUUUCACUUCAUGCAAAGCAGAACUAAGCUGGUCCUCCUGCGGUUCCUCCCUCCCCAGGACUCUGUUUCCUCUUCACUCUUGCAUCAACGCUGAUCCUUGUCUGUAUUCCACAUCAUAACAUCAUGUGAGGCACUGGGAG
Long non-coding RNA from Phasianus colchicus (ring-necked pheasant), 728 nucleotides. RefSeq lists it as uncharacterized. NCBI's taxonomy places the organism in Eukaryota, Metazoa, Chordata, Aves, Galliformes, Phasianidae. The record is from RefSeq and is a predicted model, not a curated record.